AUUGAACGCUGGCGGCAUGCUUUACACAUGCAAGUCGAACGGCAGCGCGGGGGCAACCCUGGCGGCGAGUGGCGAACGGGUGAGUAAUGUAUCGGAACGUAUCCUGUAAUGGGGAUAACCAGUCGAAAGAUUGGGUAAUACCGCAUACGCACGAGAGUGGAAAGUAGGGGAUCGCAAGACCUUACGUUAUAGGAGCGGCCGAUAUCUGAUUAGCUAGUUGGUGGGUAAAGGCCUACCAAGGCGACGAUCAGUAGCUGGUCUGAGAGGAUGAUCAGCCACACUGGGACUGAGACACGGCCCAGACUCCUACGGGAGGCGAGCAGGUAGGGUAAUUUGGACAAGUGGGACGAAA
This 352-nucleotide ribosomal RNA is filed under the name uncultured bacterium. RNAcentral's name for it is "bacterial SSU rRNA". It matches the Rfam family "Bacterial small subunit ribosomal RNA", at positions 30 to 380 of the family's 1533-position model. The record is from RNAcentral.